CCAGUGCGCAGGCGCAAGAGCCUCCCUAUGGUUAUAUAAGGGAAGUCCCGGGUUCACUUCGUUCUUUUGCGUCUGCGGUGCAUUGACUUCUUUAUCGUUUCGUUCCCGUUGGUCGUCCGAUGUCGUCCCGCCCUGGGAACCUGGGGCUACUGCUGUGUAUGGUUAGCGCGAUCACAAUGGAUCUUGAAAGAGAGGAUCGUUGCUGGGCCUUCAGCGGAACCCCGUGUAGACAUCUUAAACCUUCGAUAUCAUGAUCUCUGGGUGUUUUCUUCUCAGGUUUACUGUUUUCAGAAAGCAGAUUUUGAAGGAAGCAGGAUGAAUCCAGGAGUGGCAGAGGAUUGAUUGGGAGUCCUGAGAGCCGCUGGGCAAUAAGUAGGUUGAUGCAGCCUGAUCAUCCCCUUGGCUUGGUUCAGUCUGUCCUGUAACAGGAGUUUUUCACCGAUGGCAUUGGAAUACAAGAUCUCUUGAAAAAGAUUGACCCUUUUUUUCCUGAGAAAGCAUAAUAUAACUGUAGCUUUUCUAUCUGGAGAAGGAAAAUAAAGAAUCCUUUAAGUCAAAA
This is a long non-coding RNA of Pteropus alecto (black flying fox), 559 nucleotides long. RefSeq lists it as uncharacterized. The record is from RefSeq and is a predicted model, not a curated record. Lineage: Eukaryota; Metazoa; Chordata; Mammalia; Chiroptera; Pteropodidae. The transcript is spliced from 5 exons.